This is a long non-coding RNA of Notothenia coriiceps (black rockcod), 466 nucleotides long. RefSeq lists it as uncharacterized. The record is from RefSeq and is a predicted model, not a curated record. The transcript is spliced from 4 exons. NCBI's taxonomy places the organism in Eukaryota, Metazoa, Chordata, Actinopteri, Perciformes, Nototheniidae.
UUCUUGCUGCAUGUUUGCUAAACUGCUCUUGUUGUGUCCUAGCAGCCUGGCAGUGCGGGUGCAGAUUAUUACCAAUAUGACAGCAGUAAUGCAGUUAAUUGGCAGAUCAGAGAAUACAAGAUCUACCCAUACGAAGCCCUAAUAGUGUCAGUCAGAGGGCUGCAGCGUCUCCCGAGUGACGUGGACCGAGCCAGAUUGGAGCGUCACCUCUCCCCGGAGGAGUUCUUCAGAGUCUUUGGGAUGGCCAUGUCUGCCUUUGAUCUUCUUGUUCAGUGGAAGAAAAACGAACUGAAGAAACAGGUCCGACUCUUCUGAGAAAAUGAAUCCAUUAGAACCGUUUAACCCUAAUACAGGACUAUCGCCAACUCUGUGUGCUCUGGGAAAUAGUCUCUGCCUGCUGACCCCAGACAGUGGAACAGAAACGGGAUGAAAUAAAAGUCUGUCCUCCCUUGAGGAGGCAAAAUUA